This 2022-nucleotide long non-coding RNA is filed under the name Homo sapiens (human). RNAcentral describes it as "HSALNT0310640". Lineage: Eukaryota; Metazoa; Chordata; Mammalia; Primates; Hominidae. The record is from RNAcentral.
CUGGCCACUGCAGUCAGCAGUGGCAACCUGCUUGGGUCCGCUUCCACACUGUGGAAGCUUUGCUCUUUCGCUCUUCACAAUAAAUCUUGCGGCUGCUCACUCUUUGGGUCUGCACUACCUUUAUGAGCUGUAACACUCACCAUGAGGGUCUGUGUCUUCAUUCCUUGAAGUCAGUGAGACCACGAACCCACUGGGAGGAACAAACAACUCCAGAUGCGCCACCUUUAAGAGCUGUAACACUCACCGCAAAGGUCUGUGGCUUCACUUCUGAAGUCAGCGAGACCACGAACCCACUGGAAGGAAGAAACUCCAGACACACCAUCUUUAAGAGCUGUAACACUCACCGCAAAGGUCUGUGGCUUCAUUCUCAAAGUCAGUGACACCAAGAACCCACCAGAAGGAAUAAAUUCUGGACACAUUUUGGUGACCACGAAGGGACUAUCACCUAUCGCCAAGUGGAUCGAGGCCAUCAAGCUACAGAUGGUCUUACAAAUGGAACCCCAAAUGAGCUCAACUAACAACUUCUACUAAGGACCCCUGGGCCAACCCACUGGCCCUUUGACUGGCCUAAAGAGUUCCCCUCUGAAGGACACUACAAUUGCAGGGACCCUUCUUUGCCCCUAUCCAGCAGGAAGUAGCUAGAGCGGUCAUUGUCCAAUUCCCAACUGCAGUUGGGGUGUCCUGUUUAGAGGGGGGAUUGAGAGGUGAAGCCAGCUGGACUUCCUGGGUCGAGUGGGGACUUGGAGAACAUUUCUGUCUAGCUAAAGGAUUGUAAAUGCACCAAUGAGCACUCUGUAAAAAUGCACCAAUCAGCGCUCUGUGUCUAGCUGAAAGAUUGUAAAUGCACCAAUCAGCACUCUGUAAAAACAUACCAAUCAGCGCUCUGUGUCUAGCUAAAGGAUUGUAAACGCACUGAUCAGCACUCUGUAAAAUGGACCAAUCAGCGUUCUGUAAAAUGGACCAAUCAGCAGGACAUGGGUGGGGCCAAACAAGGGAAUAAAAGCUGGUCACCCCAGCCAGCAGUGGCAAGCCACUCGGGUCCCCUUCCACACUGUGGAAGCUUUGUUCUUUUGCUCUUCACAAUAAAUCUUGCUGUUGCUCACUUUUUGGGUCUGCACUACCUUUAUGAGCUGUAACACUCACCACAAGGGUCUGCAGCUUCAUUCCUUGAAGUCAGUGAGUCCACAAAUCCACCAGGAUGAACAAACAACUCCGGAUGCACCACCUUUAAGAGCUGUAACACUCACUGCGAAAGUCUGCGGCUUCACUCCUGAAGUCAGCGAGACCAUGAUCCCACUGGAAGGAAGAAACUCCAGGCACAUCUGAACAUCUGAAGGAACAAACUCCAGACACACCAUCUUUAAGAGCUGUAACACUCACCACGAAGGUCUGCAGCUUCAUUCUUGAAGUCAGCGACAUAAGAACCCACUGGAAGGAAUAAAUUCCGGACACAUCAGCACUAUUCAGAGAGGUCCAUGGCAGCUGACCUCAGGCUGGUGUCCAUUGGAGUGGACCUGAUGACUGUGUUCCUGGACCAUAUGUCCACAGGGGCUGGACUGAAGCCCAGUUCCAAGGAUGUUGACCUGGCACUGAGGGGGCCUACAGGAGAGGCCAGUACUCUUCUCUAUUGAAGCUGCAUGUACACUUGGCCCAGGACUCAGACCCAAAGGGAGGAGAUCUCAUGGGAGCUGGAGGAACUGUGGGUCCUGGCACUGCCGCAUGCCAGUAAGACUAGAGAGGCUCUCCUUCUGGCUUUGAAGAGGUAAGCUGUCAUAUGUGAGGGAGCAUGUGACAAGGAACCAUGCAGAUCUCCACAAAGCUGAGAGAAGCCUCUGGUUGACAGCCAGCAAGGAAGAGGAGAUCUCAGUCCUGCAACUACAUAGAACCAAAUUCUGUCAACGCCGACUUGACCUUGAGCUCCAGAAAGGAAUGCUGUAUGGAUGACAUCUAACUGGUUUGGCUCAGGGUCUCAUUGCAGCUUUGUGAGAACUUCAGCAAAACCAGUUAGGUUGUACCCAGAAU